CCAGACUCCUACGGGAGGCAGCAGUGGGGGAUAUUGCACAAUGGGGGAAACCCUGAUGCAGCGACGCCGCGUGGGUGAAGAAGCGCCUCGGCGCGUAAAGCCCUGUCAGCAGGGAAGAAAAUGACGGUACCUGAAGAAGAAGCCCCGGCUAACUACGUGCCAGCAGCCGCGGUAAUACGGAGGAUGCGAGCGUUUUCCGGAUUUAUUGGGUUUAAAGGGUGCGUAGGCGGAAUGCCAAGUCAGCGGGAAAAUGGGGGGGCUCAACCCCGCGCCGCCGUUGAAACUGGCGUUCUUGAGUGGGCGAGAAGUAUGCGGAAUGCGUGGUGUAGCGGUGAAAUGCAUAGAUAUCACGCAGAACUCCGAUUGCGAAGGCAGCAUACCGGGGCCCAACUGACGCUGAAGCACGAAAGCGUGGGUAUCGAACAGGAUUAGAUACCCCAGUACC
This 445-nucleotide ribosomal RNA is filed under the name uncultured bacterium. RNAcentral's name for it is "bacterial SSU rRNA". It matches the Rfam family "Bacterial small subunit ribosomal RNA", at positions 331 to 796 of the family's 1533-position model. The record is from RNAcentral.